RNAcentral lists this transfer RNA (68 nucleotides) under Sipunculus nudus (marine worm). RNAcentral describes it as "tRNA-Lys". The record is from RNAcentral. Lineage: Eukaryota; Metazoa; Annelida; Sipuncula; Golfingiida; Sipunculidae.
CCCACGAAAGCUCACCUAGUAGCACUAAGCUUUUAACUUAGUGGAGGGUAUACUUUUACCUCGAGGGA